This 141-nucleotide ribosomal RNA is filed under the name uncultured eukaryote. RNAcentral describes it as "partial 18S ribosomal RNA". It matches the Rfam family "Eukaryotic small subunit ribosomal RNA", at positions 1299 to 1458 of the family's 1831-position model. The record is from RNAcentral.
UGGUGGAGUGAUUUGUCUGGUUAAUUCCGUUAACGAACGAGACCUCGACCUGCUAAAUAGUUGAUUGAACCUCUCGGGGUUUGCAUUAACUUCUUAGAGGGACUUUUAGUGAAUAGCUAAAGGAAGUUCGAGGCAAUAACA